RNAcentral lists this ribosomal RNA (253 nucleotides) under uncultured bacterium. Its description in RNAcentral is "partial 16S ribosomal RNA". It matches the Rfam family "Bacterial small subunit ribosomal RNA", at positions 524 to 776 of the family's 1533-position model. The record is from RNAcentral.
UACAGAGGUCUCAAGCGUUGUUCGGAUUCAUUGGGCGUAAAGGGUGCGUAGGUGGCGCUGUAAGUCGGGUGUGAAAUUUCGGAGCUUAACUCCGAAACUGCAUUCGAUACUGCGGUGCUUGAGGACUGGAGAGGAGACUGGAAUUCAUGGUGUAGCAGUGAAAUGCGUAGAGGUCAUGAGGAAGACCAGUGGCGAAGGCGGGUCUCUGGACAGUUCCUGACACUGAGGCACGAAGGCCAGGGGAGCAAACGGG